RNAcentral lists this ribosomal RNA (513 nucleotides) under uncultured bacterium. Its description in RNAcentral is "partial 16S ribosomal RNA". It matches the Rfam family "Bacterial small subunit ribosomal RNA", at positions 28 to 523 of the family's 1533-position model. The record is from RNAcentral.
GACGAACGCUGGCGGCAUGCCUAAUACAUGCAAGUCGAGCGAACAGAUGAAGUGCUUGCACUUCUGACGUUAGCGGCGAACGGGUGAGUAACACGUAAGGAAUCUACCUAUAAGCGGGGGAUAACAUUCGGAAACGGGUGCUAAUACCGCAUAAUAUCUUCUUCUGCAUGGAAGAAGAUUGAAAGACGGCUCUGCUGUCACUUAUAGAUGACCUUGCGGUGCAUUAGUUAGUUGGUGGGGUAACGGCCUACCAAGACGAUGAUGCAUAGCCGACCUGGGAGGGUGAUCGGCCCCAUUGGGACUGAGACACGGCCCAAACUCCUACGGGAGGCAGCAGUAGGGAAUCUUCCGCAAUGGGCGAAAGCCUGACGGAGCAAUGCCGCGUGAGUGAAGAAGGCCUUCGGGUCGUAAAACUCUGUUAUAAGAGAAGAACAAAUUGUAGAGUAACUGCUACAGUCUUGACGGUAUCUUAUCAGAAAGCCACGGCUAACUACGUGCCAGCAGCCGCGGUAA